Molecule: ribosomal RNA, 431 nt
Filed under: uncultured bacterium
Lineage: Bacteria
Description: partial 16S ribosomal RNA
Rfam family: Bacterial small subunit ribosomal RNA
Source: RNAcentral
AACGAACGCUGGCGGCAGGCCUAACACAUGCAAGUCGAGCGCCCUUUCGGGGGAGCGGCGGACGGGUGAGUAACGCGUGGGAAUAUGCCCUUCUCUACGGAAUAGCCUCGGGAAACUGAGAGUAAUACCGUAUACGCCCUGUGGGGGAAAGAUUUAUCGGGGAAGGAUUAGCCCGCGUUGGAUUAGGUAGUUGGUGGGGUAAUGGCCUACCAAGCCGACGAUCCAUAGCUGGUUUGAGAGGAUGAUCAGCCACACUGGGACUGAGACACGGCCCAGACUCCUACGGGAGGCAGCAGUGGGGAAUCUUAGACAAUGGGGGCAACCCUGAUCUAGCCAUGCCGCGUGAGUGAUGAAGGCCUUAGGGUUGUAAAGCUCCUUCAGCUGGGAAGAUAAUGACGGUACCAGCUGAAGAAGCCCCGGCUAACUCCGUG